UGCAGAUGAUGUAAAGAAUAUUUGCUAUCUUAGCAGUCAUGCAGACAACCACCAAGAUCGCUGAUGCA
Small nucleolar RNA from Anguilla anguilla (European eel), 68 nucleotides. RefSeq annotates it as small nucleolar RNA SNORD24. The record is from RefSeq and is a predicted model, not a curated record. The transcript has a single exon. NCBI's taxonomy places the organism in Eukaryota, Metazoa, Chordata, Actinopteri, Anguilliformes, Anguillidae.